RNAcentral lists this ribosomal RNA (492 nucleotides) under uncultured bacterium. RNAcentral describes it as "partial 16S ribosomal RNA". It matches the Rfam family "Bacterial small subunit ribosomal RNA", at positions 29 to 507 of the family's 1533-position model. The record is from RNAcentral.
AGUGAACGCUGGCGGUAGGCCUAACACAUGCAAGUCGAACGGCAGCACAGUAAGAGCUUGCUCUUACGGGUGGCGAGUGGCGGACGGGUGAGGAAUACAUCGGAAUCUACUUUUUCGUGGGGGAUAACGUAGGGAAACUUACGCUAAUACCGCAUACGACCUACGGGUGAAAGCAGGGGAUCUUCGGACCUUGCGCGAUUGAAUGAGCCGAUGUCGGAUUAGCUAGUUGGCGGGGUAAAGGCCCACCAAGGCGACGAUCCGUAGCUGGUCUGAGAGGAUGAUCAGCCACACUGGAACUGAGACACGGUCCAAACUCCUACAGGAGGCAGCAGUGGGGAAUAUUGGACAAUGGGCGCAAGCCUGAUCCAGCCAUACCGCGUGGGUGAAGAAGGCCUUCGGGUUGUAAAGCCCUUUUGUUGGGAAAGAAAAGCAGCAGGUUAAUACCCCGCUGUUCUGACGGUACCCAAAGAAUAAGCACCGGCUAACUUCGUG